UUCGCUUUAUUCUACUCUCUGCUUUUUUUUUCCUUAUGUU
RNAcentral lists this small RNA (40 nucleotides) under Arabidopsis thaliana (thale cress). Its description in RNAcentral is "ATSL290570". Lineage: Eukaryota; Viridiplantae; Streptophyta; Magnoliopsida; Brassicales; Brassicaceae. The record is from RNAcentral.